AAAUUGAAGAGUUUGAUCAUGGCUCAGAUUGAACGCUGGCGGCAGGCCUAACACAUGCAAGUCGAGCGGAAACGACACUAACAAUCCUUCGGGUGCGUUAUUGGGCGUCGAGCGGCGGACGGGUGAGUAAUGCCUAGGAAAUUGCCUUGAUGUGGGGGAUAACCAUUGGAAACGAUGGCUAAUACCGCAUAAUGCCUACGGGCCAAAGAGGGGGACCUUCGGGCCUCUCGCGUCAAGAUAUGCCUAGGUGGGAUUAGCUAGUUGGUGAGGUAAUGGCUCACCAAGGCGACGAUCCCUAGCUGGUCUGAGAGGAUGAUCAGCCACACUGGAACUGAGACACGGUCCAGACUCCUACGGGAGGCAGCAGUGGGGAAUAUUGCACAAUGGGCGAAAGCCUGAUGCAGCCAUGCCGCGUGUAUGAAGAAGGCCUUCGGGUUGUAAAGUACUUUCAGUUGUGAGGAAGGGGGUAGUGUUAAUAGCGCUAUCU
This 487-nucleotide ribosomal RNA is filed under the name Vibrio sp. 10N.286.46.E10. RNAcentral describes it as "bacterial SSU rRNA". It matches the Rfam family "Bacterial small subunit ribosomal RNA", at positions 1 to 474 of the family's 1533-position model. The record is from RNAcentral. Lineage: Bacteria; Pseudomonadati; Pseudomonadota; Gammaproteobacteria; Vibrionales; Vibrionaceae.